This 254-nucleotide ribosomal RNA is filed under the name uncultured bacterium. RNAcentral describes it as "partial 16S ribosomal RNA". It matches the Rfam family "Bacterial small subunit ribosomal RNA", at positions 524 to 776 of the family's 1533-position model. The record is from RNAcentral.
CACGUAGGGUGCGAGCGUUGUCCGGAAUUAUUGGGCGUAAAGAGCUCGUAGGCGGUGUGUCGCGUCGGCCGUGAAAACCUGCAGCUUAACUGUGGGCUUGCGGUCGAUACGGGCAUCACUGGAGUUCGGCAGGGGAGACUGGAAUUCCUGGUGUAGCGGUGAAAUGCGCAGAUAUCAGGAGGAACACCGGUGGCGAAGGCGGGUCUCUGGGCCGAUACUGACGCUGAGGAGCGAAAGCGUGGUGAGCGAACAGG